GAAAUAGUCAGCACUGCUGUGCUGUGGGGUCCUAAAGUCUGCUGUCCUCCUUCCUGCAGACCAGGGCUGAAGGAGGGUGCCUGGGUGCUCUUGCCAUGGGUCCUGGUCCAGCCAAGCAUGGUUUCAAACAUGACCUGACCCUUAGUCAACCUGGAGGCUGAUGUCUAGAGUGGGUGCUGGUGUGUGCAGUACCUGUGGCCUCUGCAUCACCCUUAGGGCAGGUCUGCCUCCCGGGCCCAUGCACAGAGGACCUGGUCUCCCAGCCUGCAGGUGCCCCUGUGGUGUCCAGGACGACGAGGGGGUCUCUGCGUACUUGGUGGGGCUGGGACCCUCCCACUUCCCACCUCCUUGUGUUCCUCACUCCCCUGUUUCAUUCCAUGC
RNAcentral lists this long non-coding RNA (381 nucleotides) under Homo sapiens (human). RNAcentral describes it as "HSALNT0275845". Lineage: Eukaryota; Metazoa; Chordata; Mammalia; Primates; Hominidae. The record is from RNAcentral.